GCGCGUGUGGCGGAAUUGGCAGACGCACUAGACUUAGGAUCUAGCGUCGAAACCGUGGAGGUUCGAGUCCUCUCACCGGCA
RNAcentral lists this transfer RNA (81 nucleotides) under Paenibacillus peoriae. RNAcentral describes it as "tRNA-Leu". It matches the Rfam family "tRNA". From Rfam's summary of the family: Transfer RNA (tRNA) molecules are approximately 80 nucleotides in length. Their secondary structure includes four short double-helical elements and three loops (D, anti-codon, and T loops). The record is from RNAcentral. Lineage: Bacteria; Bacillati; Bacillota; Bacilli; Caryophanales; Paenibacillaceae.